Molecule: long non-coding RNA, 296 nt
Filed under: Homo sapiens (human)
Lineage: Eukaryota; Metazoa; Chordata; Mammalia; Primates; Hominidae
Description: HSALNT0082079
Source: RNAcentral
AUUUUUUCUACAGCAAACAGAAGAAAAUUAGCACCCAAAUUCCAUGAGUCACUUUCUGUCAGUAGUGGAAACAGCAGUCUUAAAUAUUUGUUUUGCAAGUGUAGUUUCUUGUGGGUGGAUAGUCAGAAGUAAUUAGCCAUUUAUUAGCUAACUUGCCAUAAAGCAUCCAUAAAUUAAUCUAAAAACACAAAAGACUCUGUUUAUUGUUACAGUUAACUGAAUUAAUGAGAAUGAUUCUAACUUCCUAAGGAUUAUGCAGUUCUAUUUUUUGUAGAAUGUUUAUAAUAAUAAAAAUA